UUUAAUUGGUGGACGGAGGGAGUAUUAUACUAAAGGAAAGUUGUCAUUCACAACUUUUCCCGCCUAAACUACCAUCUAUUUUUAUUUUUUUUAUUUUUUUUCAAAAAAAGUUGUCCAAUUUAAUUGUCCUUUCCGAUUCCCAAUAAUUGUGUAAUUUCUUGAAUCUUUUCAUAUUCUCUAUUAACUUAUUUAAUUUGAUGAUAUUCAUCUCUCUUUCUUUAACUCUCUCUCCUAAAUCUUGCUACUGUUCCUCUCUCUCUCUCUCAGAUUUAUCUGACUACUCCCUCAUCUCUUUCAAUUCAUCUUUCCUUUCAAAUUCCAUCACUUUCUUCCUCCAUUUUUCC
RNAcentral lists this long non-coding RNA (344 nucleotides) under Salvia miltiorrhiza (redroot sage). Its description in RNAcentral is "long non-coding RNA (SMIL_LNC004048)". Lineage: Eukaryota; Viridiplantae; Streptophyta; Magnoliopsida; Lamiales; Lamiaceae. The record is from RNAcentral.